This 253-nucleotide ribosomal RNA is filed under the name uncultured bacterium. Its description in RNAcentral is "partial 16S ribosomal RNA". It matches the Rfam family "Bacterial small subunit ribosomal RNA", at positions 524 to 776 of the family's 1533-position model. The record is from RNAcentral.
UACGGAGGGGGCUAGCGUUGUUCGGAAUUACUGGGCGUAAAGCGCACGUAGGCGGCUUGACAAGUGAGGCGUGAAAGUCCUGGGCUCAACCUGGGGACUGCGCUUCAGACUGUUUCGCUAGAGUCCGGAAGAGGAUGGUGGAAUUCCGAGUGUAGAGGUGAAAUUCGUAGAUAUUCGGAGGAACACCGGUGGCGAAGGCGGCCAUCUGGUCCGGUACUGACGCUGAAGUGCGAAAGCGUGGGGAGCAAACAGG